Molecule: ribosomal RNA, 470 nt
Filed under: uncultured bacterium
Lineage: Bacteria
Description: bacterial SSU rRNA
Rfam family: Bacterial small subunit ribosomal RNA
Source: RNAcentral
GACGAACGCUGGCGGCGUGCUUAACACAUGCAAGUGGAGCGACGAACCGGGGCUUGCCCCGGGGCAGAGCCGUGAACGGGUGAGUAACACGUGGGUAACCCACCCCGAUGAUUGGGACAACCCGGGGAAACUCGGGCUAAUACCAAAUGUGCUCGUAGACCAUGAGGUCCAUGAGUAAAGAUAGCUUCGGCCUUCGCAUCGGGACGGCCCGCGGCCCAUUAGCUUGUUGGUGAGGUAACGGCUCACCAAGGCAACGAUGGGUAGCUGGUCUGAGAGGACGAUCAGCCACACUGGGACUGAGACACGGCCCAGACUCCUACGGGAGGCAGCAGUGGGGAAUCUUGCGCAAUGCGCGAAAGCGUGACGCAGCAACGCCGCGUGGAGGAAGACGGGUCUUCGGGAUUGGUAAACUCCUUUCAGUUGGGACGAAGCUCAACGGGUUAAUAGCCCGGUGGAGUGACGGUACCUUC